This 468-nucleotide ribosomal RNA is filed under the name uncultured bacterium. RNAcentral describes it as "partial 16S ribosomal RNA". It matches the Rfam family "Bacterial small subunit ribosomal RNA", at positions 28 to 507 of the family's 1533-position model. The record is from RNAcentral.
GACGAACGCUGGCGGCGUGCUUAACACAUGCAAGUCGAACGGUGAAGCUCCAGCUUGCUGGAGUGGAUCAGUGGCGAACGGGUGAGUAACACGUGAGCAACCUGCCCCUGACUCUGGAAUAAGCGCUGGAAACGGCGUCUAAUACUGGAUACGAGAAGGGUCCGCAUGGGCACUUUCUGGAAAGUUUUUCGGUUGGGGAUGGGCUCGCGGCCUAUCAGCUUGUUGGUGAGGUAAUGGCUCACCAAGGCGACGACGGGUAGCCGGCCUGAGAGGGCGACCGGCCACACUGGGACUGAGACACGGCCCAGACUCCUACGGGAGGCAGCAGUGGGGAAUAUUGCACAAUGGGCGAAAGCCUGGUGCAGCGACGCCGCGUGAGGGAUGACGGCCUUCGGGUUGUAAACCUCUUUCAGCAGGGAAGAAGCGAAAGUGACGGUACCUGCAGAAGAAGCACCGGCUAACUACGUG